This 480-nucleotide long non-coding RNA is filed under the name Drosophila melanogaster (fruit fly). RNAcentral's name for it is "long non-coding RNA:CR45571 (Dmel_CR45571)". The record is from RNAcentral. Lineage: Eukaryota; Metazoa; Arthropoda; Insecta; Diptera; Drosophilidae.
UUUAAAAUGGUGAUCAUUUUCAGAGCGAACUCCCUUCGAUUAACUUGCCAUCGUCUGCCUUAUCGGAAAUCCAAAACACAGACCAAAACCACCGUGACAUAAAUCACAAAAUCAACAACUAGCGCAAAACGGUAUAAAAAUCAAGUUAUGGGGGCCAGCAAUAUAGAUUUUGAUUUAUUGGCUGCUGGCGUGACUCUCUAUCUGAACAACCUACCACAUCCACAUGCCAAAUAGGUGGGGCAGAAUGUGGGGGCCCUACCAAACCCCCUAAGUAGACAGCUCAAAGGCCUAAACGUGGCGAGACCAACAAGAAGAACAUGCGAAAACAAAAACAUACAGAGUGGAACCAAAAGCGAGGCCAGCCAAACAAUGGCGAGCAUUUUGAUUUGUGACUUGCGACUUUUCACGUAGCGCUCUCAUGCCCACACACACGCACCGGGAAAAUCUCCAUAAAAAAUAUGAAAAUAAAAAUCACGCAAC